This 253-nucleotide ribosomal RNA is filed under the name uncultured bacterium. Its description in RNAcentral is "partial 16S ribosomal RNA". It matches the Rfam family "Bacterial small subunit ribosomal RNA", at positions 524 to 776 of the family's 1533-position model. The record is from RNAcentral.
UACGGGGGGGGCAAGCGUUGUUCGGAAUUACUGGGCGUAAAGGGCUCGUAGGCGGCCAACUAAGUCGGACGUGAAAUCCCCAGGCUCAACCUGGGAACUGCGUCCGAUACUGGAUGGCUUGAAUCCGGGAGAGGGAUGCAGAAUUCCAGGUGUAGCGGUGAAAUGCGUAGAUAUCUGGAGGAAUACCGGUGGCGAAGGCGGCAUCCUGGACCGGCAUUGAUGCUGAGGAGCGAAAGCCAGGGGAGCAAACGGG